RNAcentral lists this long non-coding RNA (269 nucleotides) under Homo sapiens (human). RNAcentral describes it as "HSALNT0266805". The record is from RNAcentral. Lineage: Eukaryota; Metazoa; Chordata; Mammalia; Primates; Hominidae.
AGGAGUUCAAGACCAGCCUGGGCAACACAAUCUGAGAGACCUGCUGUGUGACCCUGAGCCCUCGCUGUGCAUCAUCGCUUCCCAGACUCUGUUACUAGUCCAGAUGGCGAGGGCCGAACCAAAACCUAAGCAGAGAGUGAACUGGUUGCAGAAGCUCAUGGGCAGGUCCUCUGCCUAGAAACACAAGGCAAGCAACAUCAGAGACAGAAUCUUGCUAUGUUGUGCGGCAAGCUAGUCUUGAACUCAUGGCCUCAAGUCAUCCUCCUGUG